GAUGAACGCUGGCGGCGUGCCUAAUACAUGCAAGUCGAGCGAACGGACGAGAAGCUUGCUUCUCUGAUGUUAGCGGCGGACGGGUGAGUAACACGUGGAUAACCUACCUAUAAGACUGGGAUAACUUCGGGAAACCGGAGCUAAUACCGGAUAAUAUUUUGAACCGCAUGGUUCAAAAGUGAAAGACGGUCUUGCUGUCACUUAUAGAUGGAUCCGCGCUGCAUUAGCUAGUUGGUAAGGUAACGGCUUACCAAGGCAACGAUGCAUAGCCGACCUGAGAGGGGGAUCGGCCACACUGGAACUGAGACACGGUCCAGAAUCCUACGGGAGGCAGCAGUAGGGAAUCUUACGCAAUGGGCGCAAGCCUGACGGAGCAACGCCGCGUGAGUGAUGAAGGUCUUCGGAUCGUAAAACUCUGUUAUUAGGGAAGAAAAUAUGUGUAAGUAAAUGUGCACAUCUUGACGGUACCUAAUCAGAAAGCAACGGCUAACUACGUG
This 497-nucleotide ribosomal RNA is filed under the name uncultured bacterium. Its description in RNAcentral is "partial 16S ribosomal RNA". It matches the Rfam family "Bacterial small subunit ribosomal RNA", at positions 28 to 507 of the family's 1533-position model. The record is from RNAcentral.